RNAcentral lists this ribosomal RNA (402 nucleotides) under uncultured bacterium. Its description in RNAcentral is "bacterial SSU rRNA". It matches the Rfam family "Bacterial small subunit ribosomal RNA", at positions 362 to 758 of the family's 1533-position model. The record is from RNAcentral.
UAUUGGACAAUGGGCGAAAGCCUGAUCCAGCAAUACCGCGUGUGUGAAGAAGGCCUUAGGGUUGUAAAGCACUUUCAAUUGGGAGGAAAACCUACCGGUCAAUACCCGGUAGCUUGACAUUACCUUUAGAAGAAGCACCGGCUAACUCCGCGCCAGCAGCCGCGGUAAUACGGAGGGUGCGAGCGUUAAUCGGAAUUACUGGGCGUAAAGCGUACGCAGGCGGUUUGUUAAGCGAGAUGUGAAAGCCCCGGGCUCAACCUGGGAACUGCAUUUCGAACUGGCAAACUAGAGUGUGAUAGAGGGUGGUAGAAUUUCAGGUGUAGCGGUGAAAUGCGUAGAGAUCUGAAGGAAUACCGAUGGCGAAGGCAGCCACCUGGGUCAACACUGACGCUCAUUACGAAA